This 497-nucleotide ribosomal RNA is filed under the name uncultured bacterium. RNAcentral's name for it is "partial 16S ribosomal RNA". It matches the Rfam family "Bacterial small subunit ribosomal RNA", at positions 28 to 507 of the family's 1533-position model. The record is from RNAcentral.
GAUGAACGCUGGCGGCGUGCCUAAUACAUGCAAGUCGAGCGGACAGAUGAGGAUCUUGCUCCUCUGACGUUAGCGGCGGACGGGUGAGUAACACGUAGAUCACCUACCUAUAAGACUGGGAUAACUUCGGGAAACCGGAGCUAAUACCGGAUAAUCUAUUGAACCGCAUGGUUCAAUCGUGAAUGACGGUUUUGCUGUCACUUCUAGAUGGUUCCGCGCCGCAUUAGCUGGUUGUUAAGGUACCGGCUUACCACGGCAACGAUGCGUAGCCGACGUGAGAGGGUGAUCGGCCACACUGGAACUGAGACACGGUCCAGACUCCUACGGGAGGCAGCAGUAGGGAAUCGGCCGCAAUGGGCGAAAGCCUGACGCAGCAACGCCGCGUGAGUGAUGAAGGUCUUCGGAUCGUAAAACUCUGUUAUUAGGGAAGAACAAAUGUGUAAGUAACUAUGCACGUCUUGACGGUACCGAAUCAGAAAGCCACGGCUAACUACGUG